RNAcentral lists this transfer RNA (78 nucleotides) under Neorhodomela munita. RNAcentral's name for it is "tRNA-Ala". It matches the Rfam family "tRNA". Rfam says of the family: Transfer RNA (tRNA) molecules are approximately 80 nucleotides in length. Their secondary structure includes four short double-helical elements and three loops (D, anti-codon, and T loops). Lineage: Eukaryota; Rhodophyta; Florideophyceae; Ceramiales; Rhodomelaceae. The record is from RNAcentral.
GGGAAUAUAGUUUAAUAUUUUAGGUUAAAACAUAUGAUUUGCAUUUAUAAGUUAUUGGUUCAAUUCCAAUUAUUUCCA